Molecule: ribosomal RNA, 484 nt
Filed under: uncultured bacterium
Lineage: Bacteria
Description: partial 16S ribosomal RNA
Rfam family: Bacterial small subunit ribosomal RNA
Source: RNAcentral
AUUGAACGCUGGCGGCAUGCUUUACACAUGCAAGUCGAACGGCAGCGCGGGCUUCGGCCUGGCGGCGAGUGGCGAACGGGUGAGUAAUACAUCGGAACGUGCCCAGUAGUGGGGGAUAGCUCGGCGAAAGCCGGAUUAAUACCGCAUACGACCUGAGGGUGAAAGCGGGGGAUCUUCGGACCUCGCGCUAUUGGAUCGGCCGAUGGCAGAUUAGCUAGUUGGUGGGGUAAAGGCCUACCAAGGCGACGAUCUGUAGCUGGUCUGAGAGGACGACCAGCCACACUGGGACUGAGACACGGCCCAGACUCCUACGGGAGGCAGCAGUGGGGAAUUUUGGACAAUGGGCGAAAGCCUGAUCCAGCAAUGCCGCGUGUGUGAUGAAGGCCUUCGGGUUGUAAAGCACUUUUGGCGGGAACGAAAAGGACUGUGCCAAUACCACGGUUCGAUGACGGUACCCGCAGAAUAAGCACCGGCUAACUACGUG